RNAcentral lists this ribosomal RNA (900 nucleotides) under Pseudomonas putida. RNAcentral describes it as "bacterial SSU rRNA". The stretch from base 1 to 495 matches the Rfam family "Bacterial small subunit ribosomal RNA", at positions 56 to 546 of the family's 1533-position model. The record is from RNAcentral. Lineage: Bacteria; Pseudomonadati; Pseudomonadota; Gammaproteobacteria; Pseudomonadales; Pseudomonadaceae.
UGCAAGUCGAGCGGAUGACGGGAGCUUGCUCCUUGAUUCAGCGGCGGACGGGUGAGUAAUGCCUAGGAAUCUGCCUGGUAGUGGGGGACAACGUUUCGAAAGGAACGCUAAUACCGCAUACGUCCUACGGGAGAAAGCAGGGGACCUUCGGGCCUUGCGCUAUCAGAUGAGCCUAGGUCGGAUUAGCUAGUUGGUGAGGUAAUGGCUCACCAAGGCGACGAUCCGUAACUGGUCUGAGAGGAUGAUCAGUCACACUGGAACUGAGACACGGUCCAGACUCCUACGGGAGGCAGCAGUGGGGAAUAUUGGACAAUGGGCGAAAGCCUGAUCCAGCCAUGCCGCGUGUGUGAAGAAGGUCUUCGGAUUGUAAAGCACUUUAAGUUGGGAGGAAGGGCAGUAAGUUAAUACCUUGCUGUUUUGACGUUACCGACAGAAUAAGCACCGGCUAACUCUGUGCCAGCAGCCGCGGUAAUACAGAGGGUGCAAGCGUUAAUCGGAAUUACUGCUUGCACCCUUCGUAUUACCGCGGCUGCUGGCUGNAGGUGAAUGCCCCGAGUUCAAACUGGGAACUGCAUCCAACACUGGGGGAGCUAGAGUACCGGUUGAGGUCCCGCGCAACUGCCCUAGGCACGCCCAUGCUGGUUCUAUUUCGGAUACAGGGCGGAGUCCAAGGCUACCAACUCCUGUUUUUGCACUCACGCUUUAGGCACCUCAGGGUCAGAGUCAGUCCGAAAAGGCCGCUUUCGUCACUGGCAUUACUCCCCGAUCUCAACGCAUCUGGAGGGAUACUCCGGGAAUUGCUACCUUCCUCGUCCUGGCGUUCUACUUGGAACGUAUCGGAUGUCAGGUCCAAGGGUAGGAGGCCCGGGGGGUAUUUAUUGAUACUGUGGUAUAUACCCU